AUACGAAAGGUGCAAGCGUUGUUCGGAUUUACUGGGCGUAAAGAGAGUGUAGGUUGUUUAUUAAGUCGGAUGUGAAAUCCCGGGGCUCAACCUCGGAACUGCAUUCGAUACUGAUAGGCUAGAGUUUGGGAGGGGUAAGCGGAAUUCCGUGUGUAGCAGUGAAAUGCGUAGAUAUACGGAGGAACACCUGAGGCGAAGUCGGCUUACUGGACCAAUACUGACACUGAGACUCGAAAGCGUGGGUAGCAAACAGGAUUAGAUACCCGGGUAGUCC
RNAcentral lists this ribosomal RNA (274 nucleotides) under uncultured bacterium. Its description in RNAcentral is "partial 16S ribosomal RNA". It matches the Rfam family "Bacterial small subunit ribosomal RNA", at positions 523 to 796 of the family's 1533-position model. The record is from RNAcentral.